This 440-nucleotide ribosomal RNA is filed under the name uncultured bacterium. RNAcentral describes it as "partial 16S ribosomal RNA". It matches the Rfam family "Bacterial small subunit ribosomal RNA", at positions 338 to 795 of the family's 1533-position model. The record is from RNAcentral.
CCUACGGGUGGCAGCAGUGGGGGAUAUUGCACAAUGGGGGAAACCCUGAUGCAGCGACGCCGCGUGUGGGAAGACGGUCCUCUGGAUUGUAAACCACUGUCCCCAGGGACGAAGAUGACGGUACCGGGGGAGGAAGCGCCGGCUAACUACGUGCCAGCAGCCGCGGUAAUACGUAGGGAGCGAGCGUUGUCCGGAAUGACUGGGUGUAAAGGGAGCGUAGGCGGGACUGCAAGUUGGGUGUCAAAUCUACCGGCUCAACCGGUAGCCGCACUCAAAACUGCAGUUCUUUAGUGAAGUAGAGGCAGGCGGAAUUCCUAGUGUAGCGGUGAAAUGCGUAGAUAUUAGGAGGAACACCAGUGGCGAAGGCGGCCUGCUGGGCUUUUACUGACGCUGAGGCUCGAAAGUGUGGGGAGCAAACAGGAUUAGAUACCCGAGUAGUC